This 429-nucleotide ribosomal RNA is filed under the name Chloroflexota bacterium. RNAcentral's name for it is "Chloroflexi bacterium partial 16S ribosomal RNA". It matches the Rfam family "Bacterial small subunit ribosomal RNA", at positions 355 to 776 of the family's 1533-position model. The record is from RNAcentral. Lineage: Bacteria; Bacillati; Chloroflexota.
UGGGGAAUAUUGCACAAUGGGCGCAAGCCUGAUGCAGCCAUGCCGCGUGUGUGAAGAAGGCUUUCGGGUUGUAAAGCACUUUCAGCGGGGAGGAAGGCGGUGAGGUUAAUAACCUCAUCGAUUGACGUUACCCGCAGAAGAAGCACCGGCUAACUCCGUGCCAGCAGCCGCGGUAAUACGGAGGGUGCAAGCGUUAAUCGGAAUUACUGGGCGUAAAGCGCACGCAGGCGGUCUGUCAAGUCGGAUGUGAAAUCCCCGGGCUCAACCUGGGGACUGCAUUCGGAACUGGCAGGCUAGGGUCUUGUAGAGGGGGGUAGAAUUCCCGGUGUAGCGGUGAAAUGCGUAGAAAUCUGGAGGAAUACCGGUGGCGAAGGCGGCCCCCUGGACAAAGACUGACGCUCAGGUGCGAAAGCGUGGGGAGCAAACAAG